CAAGUCGUGGGGCAGCAAGGGUAGCAAUACCUGUUGGCGACCGGCAAACGGGUGAGGAACAUGUACGCAACCUUCCUUUAACUGGAGAAUAGCCCCUCGAAAGAGGGAUUAAUACUCCGUAACAUGAUGAAGUGGCAUCACUUUAUUAUUAUAGCUCCGGCGGUUAAAGAUGGGCGUGCACCUGAUUAGAUAGUUGGCGGGGUAAUGGCCCACCAAGUCUACGAUCAGUAACUGGUGUGAGAGCACGACCAGUCACACGGGCACUGAGACACGGGUCCGACUCCUACGGGAGGCAGCAGUAAGGAAUAUUGGUCAAUGGACGCAAGUCUGAACCAGCCAUGCCGCGUGGAGGAUUAAGGCCCUCUGGGUUGUAAACUCCUUUUAUCUGGGAAGAAAUGUACUUUUUCUUGAGUACUUGACGGUACCAGAGGAAUAAGCACCGGCUAACUCCGUGCCAGCAGCCGCGGUAAUACGGAGGGUGCAAGCGUUAUCCGGAUUCACUGGGUUUAAAGGGUGCGUAGGUGGGCAGGUAAGUCAGUGGUGAAAUCUCCGAGCUUAACUCGGAAACUGCCGUUGAUACUAUUUGUCUUGAAUAUUGUGGAGGUAAGCGGAAUAUGUCAUGUAGCGGUGAAAUGCUUAGAUAUGACAUAGAACACCAAUUGCGAAGGCAGCUUACUACACAACGAUUGACGCUGAGGCACGAAAGCGUGGGGAUCAAACAGGAUUAGAUACCCUGGUAGUCCACGCCCUAAACGAUGAUUACUCGACGUGUGCGAUACACUGUACGCGUCUGAGCGAAGGCAUUAAGUAAUCCACCUGGGAAGUACGUUCGCAAGAAUGAAACUCAAAGGAAUUGACGGGGGUCCGCACA
RNAcentral lists this ribosomal RNA (871 nucleotides) under uncultured Flavobacteriia bacterium. Its description in RNAcentral is "bacterial SSU rRNA". It matches the Rfam family "Bacterial small subunit ribosomal RNA", at positions 58 to 927 of the family's 1533-position model. The record is from RNAcentral. Lineage: Bacteria; Pseudomonadati; Bacteroidota; Flavobacteriia.